Molecule: ribosomal RNA, 95 nt
Filed under: Sporosarcina luteola
Lineage: Bacteria; Bacillati; Bacillota; Bacilli; Caryophanales; Caryophanaceae
Source: RNAcentral
GUCACACCCGUUCCCAUACCGAACACGGAAGUUAAGUUCUUCAGCGCCGAUGGUAGUAGGGGGCUUCCCCCUGUGAGAGUAGGACGUCGCCGGGC